RNAcentral lists this long non-coding RNA (546 nucleotides) under Cricetulus griseus (Chinese hamster). RNAcentral's name for it is "lncRNA (ENSCGRG00000026174.1)". Lineage: Eukaryota; Metazoa; Chordata; Mammalia; Rodentia; Cricetidae. The record is from RNAcentral.
GAAGCCAUGAGCUGGCCUGAGCCCUCUCUUUGAGAGGUUUGUUGACUGACUGUAUGACCUCUUCCUCCAGGCCCCAGAAGGGAAGUGCUGUUACACUGGGGAGAAAGCCACUGAUUUGCUGUUGCUGUCACAGGGAGGGUCCAGAGCUGGGUCAGCAGCCAGAGCACAGAUCGCAGCCAGCCUGGGCAGGGCUGAGCAUCAACCUCCAUGGAAACCAAGGCUGACUCCACGGCUGCUGGAAAAUUCUCCCAAGCGCAGCAGUGUCCUCUGUUCACCCCCCUCCCCGUCCCAGGAGGAACCGCAACAGCUGGAGGGGCUGAGUGGGGAUGAUUAUGAUUGGGAGUUUGGGCCAGCCUGGGCUACAGGAACCGCGGAGUGGGGGACCGAGCACGGGACCAUCCCCAGCCCCCGGGGCCGCNNNNNNNNNNNNNGCCGGGCCCUGCCACUCGGAGCGAAGCCGGCGCUGACGCUGCUCACUGCUCCCGGCCGCGCGCCGCUGCUGCCCCCUGGCGGCCGCGUGAGAAGCUAAGGACGCGCACACGAGCU